UGUGAGGUUACAGCUGCGUGCACCACGAAAGGGCCCUUCUCUAGGGAGGGGCGCCUCUGGGUGCCCUCUGUGCCCCAGAGAGGGAAGGGGGAGGAAAAGCUAGAAGAACAGCAUGGAAAAGAGCAUGGUUCAGAGGGAUGUCUCAAGGGGGAUGAAGAAGUCUGAGAGGGGAAAAGAGAAAGGACGGAAGCAUGGCUGUGUUGAAUGAAAACACUAGGACAGUCCAGGGCUGGCCACCAGCUCAUUUCCUGGGGCCUCAAGCUUGUUGAUCUGUAAAAUGGGCACAACAUCUCUGUGGGCCACCUCACAGAGACAGCUGGGGCCAAAGGCAACAAGACAGGGACCAGCCAGGCGGGGAGGAGACGUCCAUCUCAGCCGUGCCUACCUCCUCAGUCUGGGAGAGGAUUACCUUUCCU
Molecule: long non-coding RNA, 416 nt
Organism: Bubalus bubalis (water buffalo)
Lineage: Eukaryota; Metazoa; Chordata; Mammalia; Artiodactyla; Bovidae
Exons: 3
Source: RefSeq, a predicted model, not a curated record